Molecule: non-coding RNA, 90 nt
Organism: Mycena rebaudengoi
Lineage: Eukaryota; Fungi; Basidiomycota; Agaricomycetes; Agaricales; Mycenaceae
Source: the annotation of a GenBank genome assembly
UCGGACGUGGUGUACGGUGCACCGCGAGCUUAUCUUCAAGGAUAGAAGCCAAGUAGCUCGUAGGACGGGGUUCGACUCCCCGCGUCCGAA